AGUGAACGCUGGCGGUAGGCCUAACACAUGCAAGUCGAACGGCAGCACAGGAGAGCUUGCUCUCUGGGUGGCGAGUGGCGGACGGGUGAGGAAUACAUCGGAAUCUACUCUGUCGUGGGGGAUAACGUAGGGAAACUUACGCUAAUACCGCAUACGACCUACGGGUGAAAGCAGGGGACCUUCGGGCCUUGCGCGAUUGAAUGAGCCGAUGUCGGAUUAGCUAGUUGGCGGGGUAAAGGCCCACCAAGGCGACGAUCCGUAGCUGGUCUGAGAGGAUGAUCAGCCACACUGGAACCGAGACACGGUCCAGACUCCUACGGGAGGCAGCAGUGGGGAAUAUUGGACAAUGGGCGCAAGCCUGAUCCAGCCAUACCGCGUGGGUGAAGAAGGCCUUCGGGUUGUAAAGCCCUUUUGUUGGGAAAGAAAUCCAGCUGGCUAAUACCCGGUUGGGAUGACGGUACCCAAAGAAUAAGCACCGGCUAACUCCGUGCCAGCCGCCGCUGUAA
This 506-nucleotide ribosomal RNA is filed under the name uncultured bacterium. RNAcentral describes it as "partial 16S ribosomal RNA". It matches the Rfam family "Bacterial small subunit ribosomal RNA", at positions 29 to 523 of the family's 1533-position model. The record is from RNAcentral.